UGAACGGCGUGCCCUUUGGAUACUGAGUGU
This 30-nucleotide non-coding RNA is filed under the name Mus musculus (house mouse). The record is from RNAcentral. Lineage: Eukaryota; Metazoa; Chordata; Mammalia; Rodentia; Muridae.